RNAcentral lists this ribosomal RNA (403 nucleotides) under uncultured bacterium. RNAcentral's name for it is "partial 16S ribosomal RNA". It matches the Rfam family "Bacterial small subunit ribosomal RNA", at positions 29 to 526 of the family's 1533-position model. The record is from RNAcentral.
AUUGAACGCUGGCGGCAGGCCUAACACAUGCAAGUCGAGCGAGCGGCGGACGGGUGAGUAAUGUAUGGGGACUGCCCGAUAGAGGGGGAUAACUACUGGAAACGGUGGCUAAUACCGCAUACUAUCGGAUAACCCAUAUGGGAUUAGCUAGGGGGUGGGGUAAAGGUUCACCUAGGCGACGACCUCUAGCUGGUCUGAGAGGAUGAUGGGCCACACUGGGACUGAGACACGGCCCAGACUCAUACGGAGGCAGCAGUGGGGAAUAUUGCACAAUGGGCGCAAGCCGAAUGCAGCCAUGCGGCUUGGAUGAGGAAGGCCUUAGGGUUGUAAAGUCCGUUCAGCGGGGAGGCGUUACCCGAAGAAGAAGCAACGGCUAACUCCGUGCCAGCAGCCGCGGUAAUUC